GACGAGGGGUCCUAGCGUUGUUCGGAAUUACUGGGCGUAAAGCGUAUGUAGGCGGCUGAAUAAGUCAGAUGUGAAAGCCCGGGGCUUAACCCCGGAAGUGCAUUUGAUACUGUUUAGCUUGAAUGUGGGAGAGGAUAGCAGAAUUCCCGGUGUAGUGGUGAAAUACGUAGAUAUCGGGAGGAAUACCAGUGGCGAAGGCGGCUAUCUGGACCAACAUUGACGCUGAGAUACGAAAGCGUGGGGAUCAAACAGG
This 253-nucleotide unclassified non-coding RNA is filed under the name uncultured Pseudobdellovibrionaceae bacterium. Its description in RNAcentral is "uncultured Bdellovibrionaceae bacterium contains 16S-23S intergenic spacer region". It matches the Rfam family "Bacterial small subunit ribosomal RNA", at positions 524 to 776 of the family's 1533-position model. The record is from RNAcentral. Lineage: Bacteria; Pseudomonadati; Bdellovibrionota; Bdellovibrionia; Bdellovibrionales; Pseudobdellovibrionaceae.